RNAcentral lists this long non-coding RNA (3792 nucleotides) under Musa acuminata (dwarf banana). RNAcentral's name for it is "long non-coding RNA (MACU_LNC008909)". Lineage: Eukaryota; Viridiplantae; Streptophyta; Magnoliopsida; Zingiberales; Musaceae. The record is from RNAcentral.
AUAAAAGAAAGCGGAUGGGGGCCUUUAUUUGAUUUGAGUAGAGGUAACGAGAGAGCAAGAAGCUUGAUGGAAUGGGCCGAGCCAAAUGAGCGAGCCCUGACAUGAGGAAUACGACUUCCUAUUCGAUUUUUCUGGUCAAGUGGACGAAAAGAGCGAGUCUAGUAUUUUUUCCAACUCCCAUUUGUGUUUUAGUUCUAUUGGGUGUACAUUCAGAGAUGACGGAGUUUCCAGUUAUGCCAAAGAGCUCUGUGACAUUUCAUCUUAGAGAGCAAGUAGAAUAUCUCCUUGUUACUGAUGGGGAAUUAUUGGUUAGCCCUAAAGAGAUAGACGUGAUAGGGUUUGCUGCCCGAAUUAAGGUAGUUCGGACCCAGGUAGACUAUGAAUCAAUCCUCUGCUCCACUCAACACCUCUGAAGCAAUGAGAAAUCCACUUGGCGCCAAUGCUACGAAUCUUCCACUGGCCUCCAUUAUUGAUGCCGGCUAUGAAGGCUCUUCUGGAUCUCCAACUGGUACAAAAGAAGCUAUGUCUCCAGCUCUGCUCUCUAUCGGUAGUCCAAUCCGUACUUUGUCAUUACCUGUCUCUGUCCAUGCCCUAACACUCGGGAAGCUCUCCAACAACAACGGAAAGGGUCCGCACUCUACUCAGGGAAGAGCAAAAUCAAUACAAAUCCAAAUCUCCAAGUAUUAAGAUCAAGAGUCUCGUUCCGCUGCUCUUAUGAUAGUGACGAAACUCGCUCAGAACUUCAUUAUUAUAGGAGAAGUAAUAGCUACAUUGAAGUCAACGCAAGCACUGGAGGAACAGUGUUUUCUCAUAAAGGGUUUCGACAAGCAAAUACUACAAAUCUUCGUCUUCCAAUUGAAAGAUUUAAGUAAUAACUCAGAUAAGUCAUACCUACUAGUAAGGCAGAGCUACUAUCAACUCAUAUAAGCUGGUAGGAUUAAUAACUUACAUGCUAUCGGUCCCUUACUCUCUCUCUCGCCUUCCUCCGAAUAGGGCUUAACUUUAGAUUAGAAUAGGCUCAUUCUUUGACAGAUUAGUCAGAUAUAUGAACCUUUGUGCUCCAACUUUGAGUCUUCCCUAUGUCUGGUCUGGAUGGCAUUUUCUUCUUCCAAAGGGGGGUCGCUCCAAUGGUGCAAUUUCUUUCUAGUGCUAUUUGGAAGUUCGAAUAAGCAGAUUUGGCGAUUCUCUUGGUUCCUGAUUGAGAUCUCCCUAUAGUAAGUUGUAUAGGUUUGGGAAAUCCAUUUGCCAUGGUCUGGUCUAACUCUAUAGAUUUGUGAUGAACUGGAAAGAAAGAGAGAAGAGGAGCUUUAUCUGAUCUCGAAAUCAGUCUUGGACAGGCCAAUCACGAAAGAAGCACACAAAAGAAGCACACAAAAGGCAUAGAAAGACUCACAUUGGCGGAUUCCGGGAAUUUCCCUUGCUUUCCAGAGAAGUCGAAGAAUCACUAUUAGCUGAAAAAGUAUAGAAUAUGGAUCCCACCUGUCACGAAAGCUAUAGAAAAGACAUCCCUUGAAUACACAAACCGAAUCAUAUCAUGGACAAGGAAGGGGCAAGGAAUUAGGGUUUAUAGAAGCACAACUGGAAACUGGUGCUAAUAAGAAUGGAACAAAGUAGUAUAAGCCUAUGAAACCCGGACCCAAGACUCAUAGUUAUUGCUGUAGUGAUAAGGAUGAAACCAGCUCCUAUGGAAUGAAACCGCCGCUAACAAGGAUUGAACGGGGACACCUAAGUCUGACUUACUUACAUCUAAAUCGAACUUUCCUUGCUUUCGUUCUUACUUUCAUGCAUCUUAUUCUGAAAUUGAUUACUUGAGCUCUGUAACUAAUGUCUGGUACCCUUCCUUCUGAGAUUGAGCCUACCUCUCUUAGUAGUAGUUGAAGUAUGAUCCCUAUACUAAUAAGCUCUUAUACGUAGUUGAAGUAUGAUCCCUAUACUAAUAAGAAGAAAAACACAGAAUUGGGAAUUUCUCCACUAAGUGGAAGAUCGAAGCACUGCACUAUAGAAUUGAACUGUGCCCCACAAAUCCUGACUUCGCUAACUAGCAAUUGAACCACUGCCUGACAAGCAAGAAGAAAACUAGGCGCUAACGGGACGAAACCGCGACAUAUAGAAUUGCACCUAGCUGCCCGAGCCUUACUUACUACCAGGAAGCUCAUAACUCAUAGUAUACCUUGUCAUUUUGCUAUUAAUUACUAUUAUUCUAUUACUUAUACUCUAUUACCUAGUAGUUUGUCUGUAUUACUUAGUUGUGUGUCUGCUUGUUAGUGACUUGGCGACUGAACAUUCGCACAACCAUAGAAAAUGAAAUGAGAAAAAUAACCACUGUUUUUGAGAAAAAGUAGAGCUGGGUUUUGCUCUAAUUACUAGAAGAAACCCAGUGGAAUUACUAUAAGCAAACUCAUAGCAAAUAUGAUAUGAAAAACCUAUUGCCUAUAGUAUGAGAAUGAAUUAGAACAAUAAGAAUAAGAGGUAUGUUAUGUCGAACAAUAAGAAUAAGAGAUAUAGUUCUUGAAGGUAAGUUUCGAGGUAUAGCUCUGGAAGGUCAGUUUCAAGUAAGUAUAAUAAACAAAGAAUAGAGAUGUGACUUAACGAAUAGGUAUGUUACGCCACCGACAUAUAAAUCAAAAAGGAAUAACCAUUGUACUUUUGAGACCACGGUUCCCUAAGAAAAUACAGUCAAAUAAUAAUCAAUCCUAUAUAAGUGAACUGUAAUAAUCAAUCCUAUAUAAGUGAACUGAAUGUAUGCUACUAAUUACCUCAAUGCCUUAUGCUCGAGAUCUGGGCUGACACCCGGAACCACCCACUCCUUAUUUCACCUAUGAGCUUGCCUUGUUCUUAUAUGAGAAUUGGGUCAAGUCGGACUAAAAGCAUGGAGUUGAAGAACCCGAGUUGUAAGUUGAAGAGCGAAAGAAGGGAUAUUGUUUUCAGGUAAGGCGGGGCUUGGACUUACCACAGUGAAAUUCUGAUAAGUAUAUUCAUAUUCUUUAUUAGAUGCAGUUUUCUUAGAAGCUGUAGUGAGAGUAUGAUAUCGAAUACUCCAUGCCUUACGCUUACCCUUACGUAGUUGCUUGUCUAUACGCUGCUUGUAGAGUUUCAGUCUCCUCCCUGACUUCGUCAGUUCACUCUUUUACCGUUAAGGACGAUUAUGCCUUCCUAGGGGAACUUAGCAUUCCUUAGACUACCAACCCUAAUGCUGUUACUCAUAGAUUGAGUUCCCAUGCUACUGAGUUUCAUUAUAUUACUUACUAUAUUACUUACUUGACUUACUUGCUCGAUCCUUGUACUGAACCUAAUAAGUUCAUUUCUUAGCCAGGGUACACUUACCUUAUAGCGAAACAACAGAUCUAUUGUUCAAGAGAAAACAACUUGCUGUUUUUAGACGGAGUUUCCUUCAUAAACCACUCAUCAAUAUUAGAUAAAUGAACUUUCAAUACAAUUAAGAGAAUUAAUAAAUAAGGGAAUGUUUGAAUUAAGAGAAUUCAUAAAUAGGGAAUGUUUGAACAAUCAAUUAAAUAAAGAAGAAUUACAAACAUGGAUAACAGUUUGGAAGCAGUACUCAUAAGAGAAUGAAAAAACUAACAAACAAAUAAGAGAAUGAAAAGAACAACUACAAGAGCGAAAGCCAGGAGAGAGGCGGGCCAAGAUACAGGAAAGGCUGAGUGAGAGUUGAGCUAAAGAAAGAAAGUCAGAAUGGGUAAACUCAUAUCCGAGGGCGUGGUGCAGAGUUCCCAACCCUGUUUUCAGAAGGUAGUAAGCUUAGAGCUAGUAGUUGCUUGUCAAGUGCAAUUCCUU